This 459-nucleotide ribosomal RNA is filed under the name uncultured bacterium. RNAcentral's name for it is "partial 16S ribosomal RNA". It matches the Rfam family "Bacterial small subunit ribosomal RNA", at positions 338 to 795 of the family's 1533-position model. The record is from RNAcentral.
CCUACGGGUGGCAGCAGUGAGGAAUAUUGGUCAAUGGGCGCGAGCCUGAACCAGCCAAGUCGCGUGAGGGAAGACGGUCCUAUGGAUUGUAAACCUCUUUUGUCGGGGAGCAAAAGACGCCACGCGUGGCGGUCCGAGAGUACCCGAAGAAAAAGCAUCGGCUAACUCCGUGCCAGCAGCCGCGGUAAUACGGAGGAUGCGAGCGUUAUCCGGAUUUAUUGGGUUUAAAGGGUGCGCAGGCGGAAGAUCAAGUCAGCGGUAAAAUUGAGAGGCUCAACCUCUUCGAGCCGUUGAAACUGGGUAUCUUGAGUGAGCGAGAAGUAUGCGGAAUGCGUGGUGUAGCGGUGAAAUGCAUAGAUAUCACGCAGAACUCCGAUUGCGAAGGCAGCAUACCGGCGCCCAACUGACGCUCAUGCACGAAAGUGUGGGUAUCGAACAGGAUUAGAUACCCGGGUAGUC